AAAAAGGGAAAGCACAAACAAAUGUUAAGGUUAUUAGGUUAACUAAGCUAGCCCUGCGUGGGAGAGGGAGGAGGGGUGGAGGAAUGAAGGAAAAUCACUCUAAACAAAAAAAAAAAAAACAUUUCACACUCC
Ipomoea nil (Japanese morning glory) is the source of this 132-nucleotide long non-coding RNA. RefSeq lists it as uncharacterized. Lineage: Eukaryota; Viridiplantae; Streptophyta; Magnoliopsida; Solanales; Convolvulaceae. The transcript has 3 exons. The record is from RefSeq and is a predicted model, not a curated record.